Molecule: ribosomal RNA, 620 nt
Filed under: uncultured bacterium
Lineage: Bacteria
Description: bacterial SSU rRNA
Rfam family: Bacterial small subunit ribosomal RNA
Source: RNAcentral
GAUGAACGCUAGCGGCAGGCCUAACACAUGCAAGUCGAGGGGCAGCGGGUGUAGCAAUACAUGCCGGCGACCGGCGCACGGGUGAGUAACGCGUAUGUAACCUACCUCUAACUGGGGAAUAGCUCUGAGAAAUCGGAAUUAAUGCCCCAUAAUAUUCUUUUGAGGCAUCUCAAAAGAAUUAAAGCUCCGGCGGUUAGAGAUGGGCAUGCGUGCUAUUAGCUAGUUGGUGAGGUAAUGGCUCACCAAGGCUAUGAUGGCUAGGGGGUCUGAGAGGAUGAUCCCCCACAUUGGUACUGAGACACGGACCACACUCCUACGGGAGGCAGCAGUGAGGAAUAUUGGUCAAUGAGCGCAAGCCUGAACCAGCCAUGCCGCGUGAAGGAUGAAGGCCCUAUGGGUCGUAUACUUCUUUUGUACGGGAAGAAACCCACGAUCGUGAUCGGGGCUGACGGUACUGUACGAAUAAGCAUCGGCUAACUCCGUGCCAGCAGCCGCGGUAAUACGGAGGAUGCAAGCGUUAUCCGGAUUCAUUGGGUUUAAAGGGGUGCGUAGGCGGGAUAAUUAUGUCGGUGGGUGAAAGCCUACAGCUUAACUGUAGAAUUGCCAUUGAUACUGUUAUU